Long non-coding RNA from Lycium barbarum (goji berry), 695 nucleotides. RefSeq lists it as uncharacterized. The transcript is spliced from 3 exons. NCBI's taxonomy places the organism in Eukaryota, Viridiplantae, Streptophyta, Magnoliopsida, Solanales, Solanaceae. The record is from RefSeq and is a predicted model, not a curated record.
UUUGCAUGUUCGGAAAAAUUCGAAAUGAAUUCGACUUGUAAGAAAUAAGGCCAUAAUUUGAUCUCUAUUUAAAAUAUGUGUUUUGUCCAUGAAAUGUUGAUAUGGAAAUAUCGAGGAAGGCUAAGGGCAAAAAUUGGAAUUUCGGAAAUUAGUUUCGGGAAUUACAAAAUAAGCCCCUAAAUGAAUUGGGCUAGUGAAAAAAAAAAGAACAAGAGGCCCAAAUUAAAAGGGGUGGCCGACCACGGCUAUGGGAAAAAGGCCCAAGCCCAUUAUCAAGAAAGACCAAUUAAAAAUAAAUAGAAGGGGCCAUUCUUUCUUCAACACAAUAGAACUUUCAAGAACAAGAGAGAGAAAGAGCAAGAACAAAGGCCAUUCGGCCACUUCAAAAUAAAAAUAAAAAUUGUGGAGCUCAAAUCUUUGGUUCAAACUCAUCUCUUUUGAAUUCCUAUUAAGUUGGAAACCCUCUUCAAUGUGAUACAAAUUUGGAGGCAAGAAAGUACUUUUUUUAUCAAGUGGAAAUUCUUGAAAAAGAUAUUGGAGAGCCCGAGACUUGAGUCGGGAUUUGUUUGGCGAGUGAUCGAGAUUUGGUAGUGAGCGAUCGAGGUACAGACGUUUGUUCUGGUGACCCGCCAGCGUAGGAUACAUUCUGCUACUUGGAGUGCUCCAUUGACUCGGAGCCCUUACUUUUGGUAAAG